RNAcentral lists this ribosomal RNA (407 nucleotides) under uncultured bacterium. RNAcentral's name for it is "partial 16S ribosomal RNA". It matches the Rfam family "Bacterial small subunit ribosomal RNA", at positions 30 to 526 of the family's 1533-position model. The record is from RNAcentral.
AUUGAACGCUGGCGGCAGGCCUAACACAUGCAAGUCGAGCGGAGCGGCGGACGGGUGAGUAAUGCCUCGGAAUCUGCCUGGUAGUGGGGGAUCACGUCCGGAAACGGGCGCUAAUACCGCAUACUAUCAGAUGAGCCUAGGUCGGCUUAGCUAGUUGGUGGGGUAAAGGCCUACCAAGGCGCCGAUCCGUAACUGGUCUGAGAGGAUGAUCAGUCACACGAGAACUGAGACAGGGUCCAGGCGCCAACGUGAGGCAGCAGUGGGGAAUAUUGGACAAGGGGCGAAGGCCUGAUCGAGCCAUGCCGCGUGGGUGAAGAAGGUCAUCGGAUUGUAAAGCACUUUAAGUUGGGAGACGUUACCAACAGAAUAGGCACCGGCUAACUUCGUGCCGACCACCGCGGUAAUUC